UUCGGGUGUCGAGCGGCGGACGGGUUAGUAACGCGUGGGAACAUACCCCAGACUGAGGGAUAAGCACCAGAAAUGGUGUCUAAUACCGCAUAACAUCUACGGAUAAAAGCUUCGGCGGUUUGGGAAUGGCCUGCGUAAGAUUAGCUAGUUGGUAGGGUAAAGGCUUACCAAGGCGAUGAUCUUUAGCUGGUUUGAGAGGAUGAUCAGCAACACUGGAACUGAGACACGGUCCAGACUUCUACGGAAGGCAGCAGUAGGGAAUAUUCCACAAUGGGCGAAAGCCUGAUGGAGCAACGCCGCGUGCAGGAUGAAUGCCUUCGGGUUGUAAACUGCUUUUAUAGGUGAAGAUUUUGACGGUAACCUAAGAAUAAGGAUCGGCUAACUCCGUGCCAGCAGCCGCGGUCAUACGGAGGAUCCAAGCGUUAUUCGGAAUGACUGGGCGUAAAGAGUUGCGUAGGCGGUUUGUUAAGCAUGUAGUGAAAUUUCGGGGCUCAACCCCGGAACUGUUACGUGAACUGACAAACUAGAGUAUAUGAGGGGAGCUUAGAAUUCCUAGUGUAGGAGUGGAAUCCGUAGAUAUUAGGAGGAAUACCAAUGGCGUAGGCAGAGUUCUGGCAUAUUACUGACGCUAAGGCACGAAAGCGUGGGGAGCAAACAGGCUUAGAUACCCUGGUAGUCCACGCCGUAAACGAUGGAUGCUAGCUGUUUGGGGUAUCGACCCCCUGAGUAGCGAAGCUAACGCGUUAAGCAUCCCGCCUGGGGAGUACGGUCGCAAGAUUAAAACUCAAAGGAAUUGACGGGGACCCGCACAAGC
RNAcentral lists this ribosomal RNA (814 nucleotides) under uncultured bacterium. Its description in RNAcentral is "bacterial SSU rRNA". It matches the Rfam family "Bacterial small subunit ribosomal RNA", at positions 83 to 930 of the family's 1533-position model. The record is from RNAcentral.